UCGCCACUUUCUGGCAGAGACCUGCGAUCAGUCUGUUUCGUUUUCUUGAAGGAAUCCAAGCCCCCGGAAAAAAAGGAAGGCAAAAGAGGUUUGUCUCGUUUUAGCAGCGACUCGAGAGCAGCUGACUGACGGCGCCCGCGUGAGAGUGUGCGCGCUUCCCGGGUCUCCCCUCUCCGGUUCUAGGUGUGGGUGAUCUUUGCUUUCGCCUUGGAUCUGGCAGGCUGUCGGCUUCCCUCCCCCCUCUUGUCCCCCCCUUUUUUUUGCUCGCUCGCUUGCUCUGUAGCGCUACGGAUCUGCCUGCGGUCGGGCGCCUGCCUGCCUUAUAUCUCGCCGGCCGCCUGCAUAGCUAAUGAGAUGCAAAUGAGCAGCCCCCCAAUCUGGCGAGAGCGGCCACAAAGGAACCACUUUUUCCAAGCCCUCCUCUCAAUGGAUCGCCAAAUGGGGACGGUCACACACAGACACACACGAGCGACCUCUCUUCUACUCACGUCUGAACGUUAUAAGCGCAGGAGAAACUCAGGCUCCCGCAGGAAAACAAGCCGAGACUCAGAACGUCUUAAAAUGUGUAAAUGUAACACGCACGUUUUUGUUUUUUGUUUUUUUAAGUAGGCUACAUUCUUGGCAACGACAUCUAUCCGCCGCUAAGGAUAUCCUUCAACCGAGGGAAGGAACCAGAUCAGCAUUACGCCCGGCUGAAACCGAAUACCUUGAACCUGGCACGUGGGGCCACUGUGAUAUUUUUGAGGGUUUAUAAAUGCCCCCAUCUGGAGGAGGGAGGAGAGCAAGCGAGACAAUCGCUGCGAGCAAAGUUGUAGUUGUGGGGUGUGUUCUUUUAAAGUUCCCUCCAACGUGGC
Molecule: long non-coding RNA, 854 nt
Organism: Lacerta agilis (Sand lizard)
Lineage: Eukaryota; Metazoa; Chordata; Lepidosauria; Squamata; Lacertidae
Exons: 2
Source: RefSeq, a predicted model, not a curated record